This 93-nucleotide ribosomal RNA is filed under the name Acinetobacter baumannii. Its description in RNAcentral is "partial 16S ribosomal RNA". It matches the Rfam family "Bacterial small subunit ribosomal RNA", at positions 1 to 90 of the family's 1533-position model. Lineage: Bacteria; Pseudomonadati; Pseudomonadota; Gammaproteobacteria; Moraxellales; Moraxellaceae. The record is from RNAcentral.
UUUAACUGAAGAGUUUGAUCAUGGCUCAGAUUGAACGCUGGCGGCAGGCUUAACACAUGCAAGUCGAGCGGGGGAAGGUAGCUUGCUACUGGA